RNAcentral lists this ribosomal RNA (600 nucleotides) under Pseudomonas syringae. RNAcentral's name for it is "bacterial SSU rRNA". It matches the Rfam family "Bacterial small subunit ribosomal RNA", at positions 73 to 669 of the family's 1533-position model. Lineage: Bacteria; Pseudomonadati; Pseudomonadota; Gammaproteobacteria; Pseudomonadales; Pseudomonadaceae. The record is from RNAcentral.
GAGGUGCUUGCACCUCUUGAGAGCGGCGGACGGGUGAGUAAUGCCUAGGAAUCUGCCUGGUAGUGGGGGAUAACGCUCGGAAACGGACGCUAAUACCGCAUACGUCCUACGGGAGAAAGCAGGGGACCUUCGGGCCUUGCGCUAUCAGAUGAGCCUAGGUCGGAUUAGCUAGUUGGUGGGGUAAUGGCUCACCAAGGCGACGAUCCGUAACUGGUCUGAGAGGAUGAUCAGUCACACUGGAACUGAGACACGGUCCAGACUCCUACGGGAGGCAGCAGUGGGGAAUAUUGGACAAUGGGCGAAAGCCUGAUCCAGCCAUGCCGCGUGUGUGAAGAAGGUCUUCGGAUUGUAAAGCACUUUAAGUUGGGAGGAAGGGCAUUAACCUAAUACGUUGGUGUCUUGACGUUACCGACAGAAUAAGCACCGGCUAACUCUGUGCCAGCAGCCGCGGUAAUACAGAGGGUGCAAGCGUUAAUCGGAAUUACUGGGCGUAAAGCGCGCGUAGGUGGUUCGUUAAGUUGGAUGUGAAAUCCCCGGGCUCAACCUGGGAACUGCAUUCAAAACUGUCGAGCUAGAGUAUGGUAGAGGGUGGUGGAAUUU